This 427-nucleotide ribosomal RNA is filed under the name uncultured bacterium. RNAcentral's name for it is "partial 16S ribosomal RNA". It matches the Rfam family "Bacterial small subunit ribosomal RNA", at positions 355 to 774 of the family's 1533-position model. The record is from RNAcentral.
UGGGGAAUAUUGGACAAUGGGCGAAAGCCUGAUCCAGCCAUGCCGCGUGUGUGAAGAAGGUCUUCGGCUUGUAAAGCACUUUAAGUUGGGAGGAAGGGCAUUAACCUAAUACGUUAGUGUUUUGACGUUACCGACAGAAUAAGCACCGGCUAACUCUGUGCCAGCAGCCGCGGUAAUACAGAAGGUGCAAGCGUUAAUCGGAAUUACUGGGCGUAAAGCGCGCGUAGGUGGUUUGUUAAGUUGGAUGUGAAAUCCCCGGGCUCAACCUGGGAACUGCAUUCAAAACUGACUGACUAGAGUAUGGUAGAGGGUGGUGGAAUUUCCUGUGUAGCGGUGAAAUGCGUAGAUAUAGGAAGGAACACCAGUGGCGAAGGCGACCACCUGGACUAAUACUGACACUGAGGUGCGAAAGCGUGGGGAGCAAACA